AACGAACGCUGGCGGCAGGCUUAACACAUGCAAGUCGAACGCAUGCCUUCGGGCAUGAGUGGCAGACGGGUGAGUAACGCGUGGGAACCUACCCCUUGGUACGGGAUAGCUCCGGGAAACUGGAGAUAAUACCGUAUGUGUCCUGAGGGACAAAGAUUCAUCGCCAAGGGAUGGGCCCGCGUCGGAUUAGCUAGUUGGUGGGGUAACGGCCUACCAAGGCGACGAUCCGUAGCUGGUCUAAGAGGAUGAUCAGCCACAUUGGGACUGAGACACGGCCCAAACUCCUACGGGAGGCAGCAGUGGGGAAUAUUGGACAAUGGGCGCAAGCCUGAUCCAGCCAUGCCGCGUGAGUGAUGAAGGCCCUAGGGUUGUAAAGCUCUUUCACCGGUGACGAUAAUGACGGUAACCGGAGAAGAAGUCCCGGCUAACUUCGUG
This 435-nucleotide ribosomal RNA is filed under the name uncultured bacterium. Its description in RNAcentral is "partial 16S ribosomal RNA". It matches the Rfam family "Bacterial small subunit ribosomal RNA", at positions 29 to 507 of the family's 1533-position model. The record is from RNAcentral.